This 253-nucleotide ribosomal RNA is filed under the name uncultured bacterium. Its description in RNAcentral is "partial 16S ribosomal RNA". It matches the Rfam family "Bacterial small subunit ribosomal RNA", at positions 524 to 776 of the family's 1533-position model. The record is from RNAcentral.
UACGUAGGUGGCAAGCGUUGUCCGGAUUUACUGGGCGUAAAGAGCGCGCAGGCGGUCGUUCAAGUCGCGUGUGAAAGCCCCCGGCUCAACUGGGGAGGGUCACGCGAUACUGAUCGACUCGAAGGCAGGAGAGGGAAGUGGAAUUCCCGGUGUAGUGGUGAAAUGCGUAGAUAUCGGGAGGAACACCAGUGGCGAAGGCGACUUCCUGGACCGACACUGACACUGAGGAGCGAAAGCCAGGGGAGCAAACGGG